Crepidotus variabilis is the source of this 81-nucleotide non-coding RNA. The record is from the annotation of a GenBank genome assembly. Lineage: Eukaryota; Fungi; Basidiomycota; Agaricomycetes; Agaricales; Crepidotaceae.
CCGACCUUAGCUCAGUUGGAAGAGCGCAAGACUGUAAUGGUUGCUAUCUUGAUGCCGCCUGUUCGAUCCAGGCAGGUCGGA